GGCGCACGGGUUGAGUAACGCGUGGAUAAUCUACCCUUUAGCUGGGAAUAACUCAUCGAAAGGUGGGCUAAUGCCCGAUAAUACUGCUUUUACUGCGGUGAAGCAGUCAAAGGUAGCCUCUGUUUACAAGCUUUCACUAAAGGAUGAGUCCGCGUACCAUUAGCUAGUUGGUAGGGUAAUGGCCUACCAAGGCGACGAUGGUUAGCUGGUCUGAGAGGAUGAUCAGCCACACUGGAACUGAGACACGGUCCAGACUCCUACGGGAGGCAGCAGUGAGGAAUCUUGCGCAAUGGGGGAAACCCUGACGCAGCAACGCCGCGUGAGUGAGGAAGGUUUUCGGAUCGUAAAGCUCUGUCAGGUGGGAAGAAAUGUAUAGGGGUUAACAGCCUUUAUACUUGACGGUACCACCAGAGGAAGCACCGGCCAACUCCGUGCCAGCAGCCGCGGUAAUACGGGG
RNAcentral lists this ribosomal RNA (457 nucleotides) under uncultured Syntrophobacterales bacterium. RNAcentral's name for it is "bacterial SSU rRNA". It matches the Rfam family "Bacterial small subunit ribosomal RNA", at positions 97 to 530 of the family's 1533-position model. Lineage: Bacteria; Pseudomonadati; Thermodesulfobacteriota; Syntrophobacteria; Syntrophobacterales. The record is from RNAcentral.